Molecule: ribosomal RNA, 250 nt
Filed under: Klebsiella pneumoniae
Lineage: Bacteria; Pseudomonadati; Pseudomonadota; Gammaproteobacteria; Enterobacterales; Enterobacteriaceae
Description: partial 16S ribosomal RNA
Rfam family: Bacterial small subunit ribosomal RNA
Source: RNAcentral
AAAUUGAAGAGUUUGAUCAUGGCUCAGAUUGAACGCUGGCGGCAGGCCUAACACAUGCAAGUCGAGCGGUAGCACAGAGAGCUUGCUCUCGGGUGACGAGCGGCGGACGGGUGAGUAAUGUCUGGGAAACUGCCUGAUGGAGGGGGAUAACUACUGGAAACGGUAGCUAAUACCGCAUAACGUCGCAAGACCAAAGUGGGGGACCUUCGGGCCUCAUGCCAUCAGAUGUGCCCAGAUGGGAUUAGCUAGU